Small nuclear RNA from Bubalus bubalis (water buffalo), 107 nucleotides. The record is from RefSeq and is a predicted model, not a curated record. NCBI's taxonomy places the organism in Eukaryota, Metazoa, Chordata, Mammalia, Artiodactyla, Bovidae.
GUGCUUGCUUUGGCAGCACACAUACUAAAGUUGGAACCAUACAGAGAAGAUUAGCAUGGGCCCUGUGCAAGGAUGACACACAAAUUCAUUAAGCAUUUCAUAUUUUU